This 520-nucleotide ribosomal RNA is filed under the name uncultured bacterium. RNAcentral's name for it is "bacterial SSU rRNA". It matches the Rfam family "Bacterial small subunit ribosomal RNA", at positions 553 to 1074 of the family's 1533-position model. The record is from RNAcentral.
ACUGGGCGUAAAGGGCACGCAGGCGGCUAUUUAAGUGAGGUGUGAAAUCCCCGGGCUUAACCUGGGAAUUGCAUUUCAGACUGGGUAGCUAGAGUACUUUAGGGAGGGGUAGAAUUCCACGUGUAGCGGUGAAAUGCGUAGAGAUGUGGAGGAAUACCGAAGGCGAAGGCAGCCCCUUGGGAAUGUACUGACGCUCAUGUGCGAAAGCGUGGGGAGCAAACAGGAUUAGAUACCCUGGUAGUCCACGCUGUAAACGCUGUCGAUUUGGGGAUUGGGCUUUAAGCUUGGUGCCCGUAGCUAACGUGAUAAAUCGACCGCCUGGGGAGUACGGCCGCAAGGUUAAAACUCAAAUGAAUUGACGGGGGCCCGCACAAGCGGUGGAGCAUGUGGUUUAAUUCGAUGCAACGCGAAGAACCUUACCUACUCUUGACAUCCAUGGAAUCUUGUAGAGAUACGGGAGUGCCUUCGGGAACCAUGAGACAGGUGCUGCAUGGCUGUCGUCAGCUCGUGUCGUGAGAAG